GAAUUUUCCACAAUGGGCGAGAGCCUGACGGAGCAAGACCGCGUGGGGGAUGAAGGCUCUUGGGUUGUAAACCCCUUUUCUCAGGGAAGAAGUUCUGACGGUACCUGAGGAAUCAGCAUCGACUAACUCCGUGCCAGCAGCCGCGGUAAGACGGAGGAUGCAAGCGUUAUCCGGAAUUAUUGGGCGUAAAGCGUUCGUAGGUGGCUGUUCAAGUCUGCCGUUAAAGACCGGGGCUUAACUCCGGAAAAACUGUGGAAACUGAACAGCUAGAGUCGGGUAGGGGUAAGGGGAAUUCCCGGUGUAGCGGUGAAAUGCGUAGAUAUCGGGAAGAACACCGGUGGCGUAGGCGCCUUACUGGACCCUAACUGACACUGAGGGACGAAAGCUAGGGGAGCGAAAGGG
RNAcentral lists this ribosomal RNA (402 nucleotides) under uncultured bacterium. RNAcentral describes it as "bacterial SSU rRNA". It matches the Rfam family "Bacterial small subunit ribosomal RNA", at positions 359 to 776 of the family's 1533-position model. The record is from RNAcentral.